CUUAGGAGUAAAUUUAAUCAAGAAUGUGAAAGAUUUGCACACUGAAAACUAUAGCACAUUGAUGAAGUAUACCCAUUAGAUUUCAAAGAUAAGUAAAGGAACAAUUUUGCUUUACUUUGAGUUGAUCACAGCUUUGUAAAAGAGGAUAGCAUUGUAAACUACAAAAUUAGCCUAAUAAUAAAUAACAUAGAAUGCUUUCAGUAUAAGAAAUAAUACUAUCCUAAGCAAAAAUAAAUAAAUAAAUAAAAGUGGAGGAAUUAUAUUAUCUGACUUCAUAUUAUACUACAGAAUUAUAGUAACCAAAAGAGUAGGGUACUGGCAUAAAAAGAGACCCAUAGAUCAAUGGAACACAAUAGAGAACCCAGUAACAAAUCUAUAUACCUACAGUGAACUCAUUUUUGACAAAGGUGCCAAGAACAUACACUGGUGGGAAAUGGUGUUGAAAAAACUGGAUAUCCAUAUGCAGAAGAAUGAAAACAGACUAGUAUCUAUCACCGAAUACAAAAGUAAAAUCAAAGUUGAUUAAAGAUGUAAAGCUAAUACCUCAAACUAUAAAAAAAUCUCCAGGACAUUGGUCUGGGCAAAAAUAUCUUGAGCAAUACCCGACAAGCACAGGCAACCAAAGCAAAAAUGGACAAAUGGAUCACAUUAAGUUAAAACGCUUCUGCACAGAAAAUGAUACAAUCAACAAAGUUAAGAGACAAUCCACAGAAUGGGAGAAAAUAUUUGCAAACUACUCAUCC
This 743-nucleotide long non-coding RNA is filed under the name Homo sapiens (human). Its description in RNAcentral is "non-protein coding lnc-LIPI-12:1". The record is from RNAcentral. Lineage: Eukaryota; Metazoa; Chordata; Mammalia; Primates; Hominidae.